UCCUGGCUCAGGACGAACGCUGGCGGCGUGCUUAACACAUGCAAGUCGAACGAGAAUCUGUGGAUCGAGGAUUCGUCCAAGUGAAGCAGAGGACAGUGGCGGACGGGUGAGUAACGCGUGAGGAACCUGCCUUUCAGAGGGGGACAACAGUUGGAAACGACUGCUAAUACCGCAUGAUACGUAUUGGGGGCAUCCCUGAGACGUCAAAGAUUUAUCGCUGAAAGAUGGCCUCGCGUCUGAUUAGCUAGUUGGUGGGGUAACGGCCCACCAAGGCGACGAUCAGUAGCCGGACUGAGAGGUUGACCGGCCACAUUGGGACUGAGAUACGGCCCAGACUCCUACGGGAGGCAGCAGUGGGGAAUAUUGGGCAAUGGGCGCAAGCCUGACCCAGCAACGCCGCGUGAAGGAAGAAGGCUUUCGGGUUGUAAACUUCUUUUAAGAGGGAAGAGCAGAAGACUGUACCUCUAGAAUAAGCCACGGCUAACUACGUGCCAGCAGCCGCGGUAAUACGUAGGUGGCAAGCGUUGUCCGGAUUUACUGGGUGUAAAGGGCGUGCAGCCGGGAAUGCAAGUCAGAUGUGAAAUCCAUGGGCUUAACCCAUGAACUGCAUUUGAAACUGUAUUUCUUGAGUACUGGAGAGGCAAUCGGAAUUCCUAGUGUAGCGGUGAAAUGCGUAGAUAUUAGGAGGAACACCAGUGGCGAAGGCGGAUUGCUGGACAGCAACUGACGGUGAGGCGCGAAAGUGUGGGGAGCAAACAGGAUUAGAUACCCUGGUAGUCCACACUGUAAACGAUGAAUACUAGGUGUGCGGGGACUGACCCCCUGCGUGCCGCAGUUAACACAAUAAGUAUUCCACCUGGGGAGUACGAUCGCAAGGUUGAAACUCAAAGGAAUUGACGGAAGGGCG
RNAcentral lists this ribosomal RNA (907 nucleotides) under uncultured bacterium. Its description in RNAcentral is "bacterial SSU rRNA". It matches the Rfam family "Bacterial small subunit ribosomal RNA", at positions 17 to 923 of the family's 1533-position model. The record is from RNAcentral.